ACUGCUCAGUAACACGUGGAUAACCUGCCCUUGGGUCCGGCAUAACCCCGGGAAACUGGGGAUAAUUCCGGAUAACGCAUAUAUGCUGGAAUGCUUUAUGCGUAAAAUGGAUUCGUCUGCCCAAGGAUGGGUCUGCGGCCUAUCAGGUAGUAGUGGGUGUAAUGUACCUACUAGCCGACGACGGGUACGGGUUGUGAGAGCAAGAGCCCGGAGAUGGAUUCUGAGACAUGAAUCCAGGCCCUACGGGGCGCAGCAGGCGCGAAAACUUUACAAUGCGGGAAACCGUGAUAAGGGGACACCGAGUGCCAGCAUCAUAUGCUGGCUGUCCGGGUGUGUAAAAUACACCUGUUAGCAAGGGCCGGGCAAGACCGGUGCCAGCCGCCGCGGUAACACCGGCGGCCCGAGUGGUGAUCGUGAUUAUUGGGUCUAAAGGGUCCGUAGCCGGUUUGGUCAGUCCUCCGGGAAAUCUGACGGCUCAACCGUUAGGCUUUCGGGGGAUACUGCCAGGCUUGGAACCGGGAGAGGUAAGAGGUACUACAGGGGUAGGAGUGAAAUCUUGUAAUCCCUGUGGGACCACCUGUGGCGAAGGCGUCUUACCAGAACGGGUUCGACGGUGAGGGACGAAAGCUGGGGGCACGAACCGGAUUAGAUACCCGGGUAGUCCCAGCCGUAAACGAUGCUCGCUAGGUGUCAGGCAUGGCGCGACCGUGUCUGGUGCCGCAGGGAAGCCGUGAAGCGAGCCACCUGGGAAGUACGGCCGCAAGGCUGAAACUUAAAGGAAUUGGCGGGGGAGCA
RNAcentral lists this ribosomal RNA (795 nucleotides) under uncultured archaeon. Its description in RNAcentral is "bacterial SSU rRNA". It matches the Rfam family "Archaeal small subunit ribosomal RNA", at positions 85 to 878 of the family's 1478-position model. The record is from RNAcentral.